This 260-nucleotide ribosomal RNA is filed under the name Weissella confusa. RNAcentral's name for it is "partial 16S ribosomal RNA". It matches the Rfam family "Bacterial small subunit ribosomal RNA", at positions 48 to 269 of the family's 1533-position model. Lineage: Bacteria; Bacillati; Bacillota; Bacilli; Lactobacillales; Lactobacillaceae. The record is from RNAcentral.
CUAAUACAUGCAAGUCGAACGCUUUGUGGUUCAACUGAUUUGAAGAGCUUGCUCAGAUAUGACGAUGGACAUUGCAAAGAGUGGCGAACGGGUGAGUAACACGUGGGAAACCUACCUCUUAGCAGGGGAUAACAUUUGGAAACAGAUGCUAAUACCGUAUAACAAUGACAACCGCAUGGUUGUUAUUUAAAAGAUGGUUCUGCUAUCACUAAGAGAUGGUCCCGCGGUGCAUUAGCUAGUUGGUAAGGUAAUGGCUUACC